This 337-nucleotide unclassified non-coding RNA is filed under the name Hevea brasiliensis (rubber tree). Lineage: Eukaryota; Viridiplantae; Streptophyta; Magnoliopsida; Malpighiales; Euphorbiaceae. The record is from RNAcentral.
AAGAGAGAGGGAGGGGGGAGGGGGGGCGCGCCCGGGGUGUGGGUUGUUUACUUUUAUUGUCCCAUCUGUAUUGUACUUCUUCAAUUGAGGGUUUCAUUAGGGUUCCGUUGUAUUCUAUAAAUUGCCCCUCUUUGUUUAGUGUGUGUUUCACUUGAAAUAUGGAACAUACUUUGCAAAUCUGCAGAUUUGUUUGUCUAUUUCUUUCCAAUUUUCUUUUGCUCCUUUUUUGGUUGUUACAAUUUCUGUGUUUUUCUUUCUAUUUUUUUUUCAGCUUUUGUUUUUCUGAUAAUGAAUCAAUGUUUUCUUUUUUCAGUUGUUAUGCCUGGAGGUAGCUGGG